This is a long non-coding RNA of Lycium ferocissimum, 662 nucleotides long. RefSeq lists it as uncharacterized. The record is from RefSeq and is a predicted model, not a curated record. Lineage: Eukaryota; Viridiplantae; Streptophyta; Magnoliopsida; Solanales; Solanaceae. The transcript is spliced from 2 exons.
UGAUCUUCUCUUGUAUUUUCUACACUUUUUGGUUCUCAAAGUUUGUAACUUUUUUGUGUUUUUACUUUUUUACUCUGUUGGGUUCUCAAAGAUUGUAGCUUUAUUGUGUUUGCUUGCCAAAGAUUGUAAUUUUUUGUGUUUUAUGUGCCCAAAAUUGUAAUUUUUUGCUUUUUUUUAGUUGCUAAAGAUUCUAGCUUUUUUCUAUUGGUUGUAGAAGAUUCAAGUUUAUUAUCCUGUUUUCAAAUUCUCAAAAAAACUUUUUUCUCUCUACCCCAUUAAAAUCUUGCAAACCCCACAAUUCCCAACACUUUUUAGUCUUUUGGGUUUUCAAAGAUUGUAAUUAUAUUGUGUUUGGUUGCCAAAGAUUGUAAUUUUUUGUGUUUUAUUUGCCAAAAAUGAUUCAAGUAUUUUUGUUUCAAGAAUGGGAAGUAACGGAAACAGUUGGGCGGAUCAAUGGGGCAGUCAAAACGACGUCGUUGAUGAAGAUUAUGGGAGCAAGGGAAAAAACAGUGGCGGAAAGAAGAUGGAAAAGGUGACGGCGGUAGCAUCGACGAGUUUCAACAAGGCGAAAUCUGUGGCAGUUGUGGGUGCUGACAAGGCAAAAUCUGCAGCGGUUGUGGGUGCAAAGAAGGUGAAGAGUGGAACUUCUUUUGGGUUUAAAU